UACGACUACAUAUCAGGCAUAUCAAUAAGCGGAGGAAAAGAAACUAACUAGGAUUCCCUUAGUAACGGCGAGUGAAGCGGGAAGAGCUCAAAUUUGAAAUCUUCAAGGUUCUACCUUGACGAAUUGUAGUUUAAAGAAGUGUUUUCUGUUGGAGUUUUGGUAAAAGUUCUUUGGAAUAGGACAUCAUAGAGGGUGAGAAUCCCGUAUUUGACCAUUUCUUCCAGCUGUGUGAUACACUUUCAAAGAGUCGGAUUGUUUGGGAAUGCAGUCCAAAAUGGGUGGUAAAUUUCAUCUAAAGCUAAAUAUUGGCGAGAGACCGAUAGCGAACAAGUACCGUGAGGGAAAGAUGAAAAGAACUUUGAAAAGAGAGUUAAACAGUACGUGAAAUUGUCAAAAGGGAAGCGUUUGACACCAGUGUUGUUUUCUCGAAAAUCAAUUAAAAAUGACCGGAUUUUGUGUUGUAUUGACUUUAUCAGCUUUCUGCACUUUUUUCUUGUCUUUUUUAAUGCACUUUUCGUUUAACAAGUCAACAUCAAUUUCUUUUGUUGUAAAAGGGUCAUUGGAAGGCGGCUUUCACUUCGGUGAAAGUGUUUAUAGCCUUUGACUUCUGCAAUCGGAGAGAUUGAGGUCUGCAGCGUAGAUCCUUCGGGGUUAGAUACAUUUGUGCUAAGUUAUAGUUUUUCAUAGACAACAUGUUGACUAUGAUUAAUCAUGUAGCUUACUCGCUUAUGCUAUUUUACCUACGCUUAGGAUGUUGAAUCUGUGCGAGACUAC
This 774-nucleotide ribosomal RNA is filed under the name uncultured Neocallimastigales. Its description in RNAcentral is "partial large subunit ribosomal RNA". It matches the Rfam family "Eukaryotic large subunit ribosomal RNA", at positions 24 to 644 of the family's 3401-position model. The record is from RNAcentral. Lineage: Eukaryota; Fungi; Neocallimastigomycota; Neocallimastigomycetes; Neocallimastigales.